RNAcentral lists this long non-coding RNA (475 nucleotides) under Mytilus galloprovincialis (Mediterranean mussel). Lineage: Eukaryota; Metazoa; Mollusca; Bivalvia; Mytilida; Mytilidae. The record is from RNAcentral.
UUGGGGCUAAGUUUGGGUAUAUUUGGCCUAUUAGUUUCAGUGGAUUAUAUUUUUGUAAAAGUUAACGACUUAGGACGCCGACGGACUACGUACGCCUUGAGUGAUGAGAAAAGCUCACUUGGCCCUUUUGCCCAGAUAAGCUAAAAAUCUCUAAUUCCAUUGUGGUUUGAAUUUUAAAGUUCUACGAUAAUUAGUCAAAGCGAGUUUCAGUUACUAGUAUCGUACAAAGUGUUAUUUUUUGCUGAUAAUGUCGGUACCUUAUUCCUUGUGUGUAGCGUCCGCAUAAGUAACUAAGUAACCGGUGGCUAGAUAUUACCACGAUUUUCGAGGUAAACUUUCUGUUUAGCAUAUUAUGUUAUAGUCUGAAGACUGCUCAGACGGGUUAAGUUUAUGUGGUUUUUGGUUCAAUCUGUCAAAAGUGAUUUAGCUAUCAAUGCUUAUGUGUUCUCCGGAGUCUGUUAUCAUCCACAUAUNC